ACUAGUGAUUUCCGUAGGUGAACCUGCGGAAGGAUCAUUAACGUUACUCAUACAAAACCCUCACCGGUUAUGUACUGUGAACCUUAACCAAUCUUACAGUGGGGUAGGCUUGGACCUUUAAAUGGCGCUGUGUCGUUCGUGCAGAGCUCCAGCCCCGCUCGUUGUGUUUUCUUUCUACACUUGAAGAACUGAAACUGCGUCGUGACGACGUAAAGAUAAGAAAAAUGAGACAACUUUUAACGGUGGAUCUCUUGGCUCGUGCAUCGAUGAAGAACGCAGCCAGGUGCGAUAAGUAGUGUGAAUUGCAGAAUUCAGUGAAUCAUCGAAUAUUUGAACGCAAAUGGCGCUCUUGGGUUCUCCCAGGAGCAUGUCUGUCUGAGUGUCGGUUUCCAAACUAUCGCACGAUGCUUUUCGUGCGGCGUUGGGGCGUCACGAAACCCCGGUUCGUGUCCCUCGAAAUGCAGCGAGACUCGGUUGCGACGUGUAUGCAUCGCGACUCAAGAGGCCAAAAAUCUUUUCGUCCUCUGGGUGGUGGUGCUUGCGUCCGGCAGGGUCGUCAAAAACACAAGAAAAAGAGAACGUUCGUUCGUGCUGUUUUUCUUCCAUCUUGACCUCAGAUCAGGCAAGGCUACCCGCUGAAUUUAAGCAUAUCA
Molecule: ribosomal RNA, 653 nt
Filed under: uncultured eukaryote
Lineage: Eukaryota
Description: eukaryotic LSU rRNA
Rfam family: 5.8S ribosomal RNA (bases 232-385)
Source: RNAcentral